AGAAUCAACGCUGGCGGCGUGCCUAACACAUGCAAGUCGCACGAGAAAGGGGAGCAAUCCCUGAGUAAAGUGGCGCACGGGUGAGUAACACGUGAAUGAUCUACCUCCGAGUGGGGAAUAACUGAGAGAAAUCUUAGCUAAUACCGCAUAAUACCCACGGGUCAAAGCAGCAAUGCGCUUGGAGAGGAGUUCGCGGCCGAUUAGCUAGUUGGCGGGGUAAUGGCCCACCAAGGCGAUGAUCGGUAUCCGGCCUGAGAGGGCGCACGGACACACUGGAACUGAAACACGGUCCAGACUCCUACGGGAGGCAGCAGUGGGGAAUUUUGCGCAAUGGGGGAAACCCUGACGCAGCAACGCCGCGUGGAGGAUGAAGCCCCUUGGGGUGUAAACUCCUUUCGAUCGGGAAGAUAAUGACGGUACCGAUAUAAGAAGCCCGGCUAACUUCGCGCCAGCAGCCGC
Molecule: ribosomal RNA, 459 nt
Filed under: uncultured bacterium
Lineage: Bacteria
Description: SSU rRNA
Rfam family: Bacterial small subunit ribosomal RNA
Source: RNAcentral